This 499-nucleotide ribosomal RNA is filed under the name uncultured beta proteobacterium. RNAcentral describes it as "partial 16S ribosomal RNA". The record is from RNAcentral. Lineage: Bacteria; Pseudomonadati; Pseudomonadota; Betaproteobacteria.
CUGCCGAAAGAGCUUUACAACCCGAAGGCCUUCUUCACUCACGCGGAAUGGCUGGAUCAGGCUUUCSCCCAUUGUCCAARAUUCCCCACUGCUGCCUCCCGUAGGAGUCUGGACCGUGUCUCAGUUCCAGUGUGGCUGAUCAUCCUCUCAGACCAGCUACUGAUCGUCGCCUUGGUGAGCCUUUACCUCACCAACUAGCUAAUCAGACAUAGGCCAAUCCAAUAACGSGAGGUCCGAAGAUCCCCCGCUUUCCCCCUUAGGGCGUAUGCGGUAUUAGCACCGAUUUCUCGGCGUURUCCCCCAUUACUGGGUAUGUUCCUAUGUAUUACUCACCCGUUCGCCACUCGCCACCAGGAGCAAGSUCCCGUGCUGCCGUUCGACUUGCAUGUGUAAAGCAUUCCGCCAGCGUUCAAUCUGAGCCAUGAUCAAACUCUAAUCACUAGUGAAUUCGCGGCCGCCUGCAGGUCGACCAUAUGGGAGAGCUCCCAACGCGUUGGAU